UCUCUGAUGUUAGCGGCGGACGGGUGAGUAACACGUGGAUAACCUACCUAUAAGACUGGGAUAACUUCGGGAAACCGGAGCUAAUACCGGAUAAUAUUUUGAACCGCAUGGUUCAAAAGUGAAAGACGGUCUUGCUGUCACUUAUAGAUGGAUCCGCGCUGCAUUAGCUAGUUGGUAAGGUAACGGCUUACCAAGGCAACGAUGCAUAGCCGACCUGAGAGGGUGAUCGGCCACACUGGAACUGAGACACGGUCCAGACUCCUACGGGAGGCAGCAGUAGGGAAUCUUCCGCAAUGGGCGAAAGCCUGACGGAGCAACGCCGCGUGAGUGAUGAAGGUCUUCGGAUCGUAAAACUCUGUUAUUAGGGAAGAACAUAUGUGUAAGUAACUGUGCACAUCUUGACGGUACCUAAUCAGAAAGCCACGGCUAACUACGUGCCAGCAGCCGCGGUAAUACGUAGGUGGCAAGCGUUAUCCGGAAUUAUUGGGCGUAAAGCGCGCGUAGGCGGUUUUUUAAGUCUGAUGUGAAAGCCCACGGCUCAACCGUGGAGGGUCAUUGGAAACUGGAAAACUUGAGUGCAGAAGAGGAAAGUGGAAUUCCAUGUGUAGCGGUGAAAUGCGCAGAGAUAUGGAGGAACGCCAGUGGCGAAGGCGACUUUCUGGUCUGUAACUGACGCUGAUGUGCGAAAGCGUGGGGAUCAAACAGGAUUAGAUACCCUGGUAGUCCACGCCGUAAACGAUGAGUGCUAAGUGUUAGGGGGUUUCCGCCCCUUAGUGCUGCAGCUAACGCAUUAAGCACUCCGCCUG
RNAcentral lists this ribosomal RNA (806 nucleotides) under uncultured Staphylococcus sp. RNAcentral's name for it is "bacterial SSU rRNA". It matches the Rfam family "Bacterial small subunit ribosomal RNA", at positions 83 to 875 of the family's 1533-position model. Lineage: Bacteria; Bacillati; Bacillota; Bacilli; Caryophanales; Staphylococcaceae. The record is from RNAcentral.